GGGGUCGACCGGUUUUGACAGCGAGUGCGUGGGAAUGUAAGCAUGCCGGACGUUGGAAGCAGGUUCCGUAACAGCUAACUUCCGUGCCAAAUAAAUGGCGAAAACAAUAAUUUUGCAUUGGCUGCGUAAUUUAGAAUUACAAGUCAAUUGCCCGCACCAAAGUCUUGUUCGUUGACGUUGGAGUUCGGGUAUCAGAAAUAACGAACUGGUCGAGGCACGCCUCAGUGCCAAGAUGAGAUUUUCGAGGCUAAGGGUAGAGUAGGAUUAGCCUUUUUCCGGCUCUUCCCCUACAAUCCAAAUAAAGGAUAAGCAUGUAGAAAGCAUUUUUAUGGCUUGUUUGGACGUGGGUUCGAAUCCCACCGGCUCCAC
Molecule: transfer-messenger RNA, 369 nt
Filed under: bovine gut metagenome
Rfam family: transfer-messenger RNA
About the family: Bacterial tmRNA, also known as 10Sa RNA or SsrA, is named for its dual tRNA and mRNA-like properties. Its role is to liberate the mRNA from a stalled ribosome. To accomplish this part of the tmRNA is used as a reading frame that ends in a translation stop signal.
Source: RNAcentral